CAUUUCUUUCUGUCCGAUUAAGUAAUUUUCCCUUCUUUUUAAUCUUUCUCAAAAGUAUGCCAUUUUUCUCCUAUGCUAAAUUGAUUCGGACUAUUUAGGAUUUAAGAUUUCUUAGUUUUGUGUUUUUCAUGAUUUAGUUCAGUAGUUUAGUAACUAGUUCAAUUGAAUGAUUGGUUAAUUUAGCUGGUCUUGAAUGUUGAAACAGGUUCUUGUUAAAAAAAAGUUUUAUUCAAAUUGCAUUUGUUUGCCUUGUUUUGAUCUUUGUAUACGUUUGAUUUUCUUGUUGAAGCUGUUUGUAAUCAUUAGGAAAGGUUUGUUUGUUUGGGGGUUUUAAGAGUAAAUAAUAGAAAUUAGAGGGGACUAAAGGUUACACCAAAAUUAGGGAAUCGGAGUUGGUUAUGUGGGAAGCUUCUAGAAAGGGUCAAAUUGUAAUAAAGACAAUUGAAAUUAGGUCAGAUUUGGGUCAAAUUGGGUUAAUUUCAGGAGGUGGCCGGUGCUGAAAAUUAGCGAAAAAGGACAAUUGUUUGCAAAUAGGACAGCUGACCAUUUUCUGUUAAAAAAUAGAUGCCAAUUUCCUGAUUUUUAUCUGACAGGAUUCCCAUAUAUUCCCUCUCUUUCUUCUCUAAUAAGGGCACCCAUUGAAUUAUAUAAGGGACCUCAUACUCCCUCACAGUGGACACGUUAUUUUUUCUGCAUAUCCACUCACAAAAACACACUAGAUUUUACACUGUUACUCUGAUCCUCACUGAGUUCUCUGAAUAAAGAAACAAUAUGAAAAAUAGAGAAAAUUCCAAACUUUCCUCUAUUCUGUCUUCUUGCUUCAUCUCUUUGGAGUUUUACAAGUUUGAUUGACCUUCAAGACCUGGGUUUUACUGCUGAAGACUCUUGGUGAGCUUCCAGUUUGAAUCAGAUUCUGUUCUUAUUUGGAUAUCUUAGUGUUUUCUUGUUUAACUAGAUUUAGCAAUAGAUCUAUUAUAGUUUUCUGUAUAUGUGAUGAGUAAUUUUGUGCCAAUUUGAGGAUAUAGAAGGCUGUUGUUGCUGAUCACAUGGCUAUAGUUUGCGGAUUUGGCCACUAGUUCGCCAAAUGAGCAAAAUUCUAAGCCUAAGAAUGGGAUUCUGUCGCUGGCAGUGUGCUGAAGGUUAACUACUUCAUGUUGUGGAUUAAGGUUUAUGUGGAUAUAUUAUAUCCGAAUUGUAAAGUAUUCAUUAGUUUAGCAAUUUCAUGGAGAAUUGUAAUAGAAGUGAUUGAUGUUUUAAAGUUCGGAUUCUGAUUCUUGUAUAAAAAAUUAGUCGUAAUUCUUGAAUAUCAGAUAAGCAUGUCUUCCUAUUUAAA
This is a long non-coding RNA of Nicotiana tabacum (common tobacco), 1333 nucleotides long. RefSeq lists it as uncharacterized. Lineage: Eukaryota; Viridiplantae; Streptophyta; Magnoliopsida; Solanales; Solanaceae. The record is from RefSeq and is a predicted model, not a curated record.